CAGUAGCCGCGGGAAUACGAAGGGGGCUAGCGUUGUUCGGAUUUACUGGGCGUAAAGGGCGCGUAGGCGGACUGAUAAGUCAGGGGUGAAAUCCCAAGGCUCAACCUUGGAACUGCCUUUGAUACUGUUUGUCUUGAGUUCGAGAGAGGUAAGUGGAACUGCGAGUGUGGAGGUGAAAUUCGUAGAUAUUCGCAAGAACACCAGUGGCGAAGGCGGCUUACUGGCUCGAAACUGACGCUGAGGCGCGAAAGCGUGGGGAGCAAACAGGAUUAGAUACCCCGGUAGUCCCUGUCUCUUAUAC
This 301-nucleotide ribosomal RNA is filed under the name uncultured bacterium. Its description in RNAcentral is "partial 16S ribosomal RNA". It matches the Rfam family "Bacterial small subunit ribosomal RNA", at positions 509 to 807 of the family's 1533-position model. The record is from RNAcentral.